GGUCCUGAAAAAGUGUUGGGCGGCUCAUUUGAAAACAAAUCAAUCUUCAAUCGUGGCCGAGAGUUUUGCUUUGAGAUGAAUUGCAUUGGAAUAAACUCGGCCUUCCCUUUUCCUUUGUUUUUGGGUAGAUGAGCAUCUACCAUGCUUACCGUCACCGCAAGGAAAGGAUCAGUGUCAACUACCAUUUGUUUUUCAUGAAAUUUGAGCUUGCCAUUAUCAAUAUAGCUUUGGAUGGCAUCGCGAAAUACGACACAGUUGUUUGUCGUAAGUUUGUUCGAGUUGUGAUAUUUGCAAUAAGUUUUCUUUUUAAAUCUUCAGCUUUGGGAAUGUUAUGCCCUGGCCGAAGCUUGAUAAUUUUCGUGAGCAGUAACUGGUCGAAAAUGGCAUCGACCUUGGUGAUGUCAAAGGUGUAAACCUUUGAUAUUUUAAUGGCAGUUUCCACAGGGGUCGAGCGGGUUUUGACAUUUUUGGAGAUAGCGUGAGCCAACACCUUGCAUACAUAUG
This 504-nucleotide long non-coding RNA is filed under the name Malus domestica (apple). RNAcentral describes it as "long non-coding RNA (MDOM_LNC011102)". Lineage: Eukaryota; Viridiplantae; Streptophyta; Magnoliopsida; Rosales; Rosaceae. The record is from RNAcentral.